AACACUAGGGGAAUCCUUAAAAAGGACUGAGAGAAGAGUGGAACUCUGAUACCCUUAUGACCUGAUCAGGUUCGUGCCUGCGUAGGGAAGUGCUAUGUUUA
RNAcentral lists this non-coding RNA (101 nucleotides) under uncultured Siminovitchia sp. Its description in RNAcentral is "TPP riboswitch (THI element)". The stretch from base 3 to 92 matches the Rfam family "TPP riboswitch aptamer (THI element)", at positions 7 to 92 of the family's 105-position model. From Rfam's summary of the family: Vitamin B(1) in its active form thiamin pyrophosphate (TPP) is an essential coenzyme that is synthesised by coupling of pyrimidine and thiazole moieties in bacteria. The previously detected thiamin-regulatory element, thi box was extended, resulting in a new, highly conserved RNA secondary structure, the THI element, which is widely distributed in eubacteria and also occurs in some archaea. Lineage: Bacteria; Bacillati; Bacillota; Bacilli; Caryophanales; Bacillaceae. The record is from RNAcentral.